CACUGUCUGUGUGGUGUUUUGCAUGUUCUCCCUGUGCUUGCACAGGUUUCCUGUGGGUUCUCUGGUUGCCUCCCACUGGCCGAAACAUGCAUGUAUGCAGACUGUGCAUGUGUACAUGGUGCCCUGCUAUGGACUGCACCCCAUCUGAAGUGAAUUCUUUCAUACAGCGUUUCUGGGAUAGGCUCCGGACCCACUGCGACUCUGAAGGGAUUUUAUCAUACUGUUUAUCAUAGAGUUAUUUUAUCACAGUACCUGCUAAGUGUGUAGAAGAAGAGGACCAGGAAGAAGAAGAUAUUGUAGUAACAAAUUUGGACUCAGCCUACAAUGCGUGUCUUGGGACUGGGGGAGGAAAUCGGAUGUACCCAGAUGAAACCCCAGAAGCACGGGGAGAACAUGCAAGCUGCGUAAACCCAGUUUCCUAGUUUCUUAUGUCUUUAUCAAUUUUUUUAGAAACAAUUGUACCGCUCUUUUUAAAUGUCUAACCGAUUUCACAGUGCUUUCUUUCUUUCGCAUUUUAGAUUCGCGUGACUCACACGGAGACACGGUGUCUGGGGUCUUUGUGAUUGACGCGUCAUUAAAAAUGUGCAUGUUCCAGGAGUGGGCUCUGGAUCUGCCGUGACCCUGACCAAGACGAAACGGUUGCUGGAAGACACUACUAUUUCUACUGGCCCGGUAUUAGGAUUGUCGAACCUUCUCCCCAUACUAAAGAGAUUCCCCUCCACAGGAAGGAGCAGGAGAGCAGCGUUCUCAGGGCCCACUGUUCUUAGGAAAGCCAUCACAUGAUGAAGUGUUGAGUGAACUGACAGGUCCAAUGCCUUCUCAGUGCGAUGCAGAGAUUUGGACCAUCACUGACUGUGACAGCACGGCUUAACUCACUAAUCCCAUCUGCGCUGGUGGGGGAAUACACACCCCGCUUUCACUUAAACGUGAUAUAUUCACACAUUUACACUGUGAAUUAAUGAACCCUUUAAUUCCAGCUAAUUUGUGCUUUUUGUUAUAUUCCAAGUCUGAUUGAUAUUCAUGCUGGAAUAAUAAACACAAACCUACGAGUGAAAUAUCAGAUUCCUAUUUUUUUAAAGUCACGUCAUCGUUUCUAUUCAUGGGGACAUGUGUGAUGGACACUCCAUAUUUAAACCCAAUUAUAAACUGGGUGUUGUUAUUAAUGUGUUGUUAGACAACAAAUAAACAUUUGUGUUAUUGUUCAUAUGGUGAAGUUUUCCGUAUGGAGACAUUUAUUUAACAUUGAUGGAAGGAGUCUCCAAUGUCAGCACUUCGUAACAGUCAGAGGUAAAGCUGUAACUUUAAGAUUUACAACAUCUUCAAGACAGAGGAGUUUACGCUUUGUGCUUUCUUGGGUAUAUGACAAGUGUUUUUUUUCCCUUCGAGAGGUAAAAAAGAGAGGCUGCUGAGGGAACGACUGGUUAUAGCUACUAUAGUGUAAGUGAGAACAGGAUCUAACUUGACUUGCAGACUUUCCACAGCAUUAAAUGUAAUUAUAAAUGGAUUAAAAAGUAAGAUUUAUCAUUCUUUAAUGAAUACAUUGUAAUUGUUGUCAAAUUGCUGUGGUGUAUGAAGAAUUAAACAUUUUCAGGUCCUGUUAUAGGAUAAUAAUCAACUUUGCAGAAGAGUUUACAGUUUCUCAUUUACAUGACAAGCUGAGUUUGUAAAAAUUCAAGGUUUUUAGUAUGUUGUAAAGUUUUGUAAUAUGUUGUAAAGUUAUAAGUUUUAGUAUGGUGUAAGUUUUGUAGUGUGUCAUAAAUAUUGAUAGGAUUUUGUAAAGUUGUAACUAUUAGUAGCAGAAUUUCAUGAUCAUUGCGCUGUUAUAAUUCAUUGUUAAAGAAGCACAUUCAAUUUUAAGAUUUAAACAAUUUGAUUUAUUAAAGACAAAACAAACAAACAAACAAAAAAAAAUCACAUCUCUUACUGUCAUACUGCACUAUGCAAAGGUAUUGGUGAUGUUAUGAGCAUUACUUACAAUGCAGCAUGUUAACAAUCUAUAAUGCAUAAGGAAGGUAGCUAUAAAGUAUGAUGCUUUUUUUAAAACCCAGUAUAACAAUGUGCAUAAUGCCUUAUGAAUGCCUUAUAACAUGAUAUGAGUGUACUGUAAGUUCAUAGAAAAUGUUACUGGGAUAUUUUGUUACACACACUUUACAUA
Molecule: long non-coding RNA, 2155 nt
Organism: Pangasianodon hypophthalmus (striped catfish)
Lineage: Eukaryota; Metazoa; Chordata; Actinopteri; Siluriformes; Pangasiidae
Exons: 4
Source: RefSeq, a predicted model, not a curated record